Molecule: ribosomal RNA, 161 nt
Filed under: uncultured bacterium
Lineage: Bacteria
Description: partial 16S ribosomal RNA
Rfam family: Bacterial small subunit ribosomal RNA
Source: RNAcentral
GGAAUCUUCCACAAUGGACGAAAGUCUGAUGGAGCAACGCCGCGUGAGUGAAGAAGGGUUUCGGCUCGUAAAACUCUGUUGUUAAAGAAGAACACGUAUGAGAGCAACUGUUCAUACGUUGACGGUAUUUAACCAGAAAGUCACGGCUAACUACGUGCCAG